Molecule: ribosomal RNA, 420 nt
Filed under: uncultured bacterium
Lineage: Bacteria
Description: bacterial SSU rRNA
Rfam family: Bacterial small subunit ribosomal RNA
Source: RNAcentral
GAAUAUUGGGCAAUGGGUGAGAGCCUGACCCAGCCAUGCCGCGUGCAGGAAGACUGCCCUAUGGGUUGUAAACUGCUUUUGUACGGGAAGAAACACUGCCACGUGUGGCAGCUUGACGGUACCGUAAGAAUAAGGAUCGGCCAACCCCGUGCCAGCAGACGCGGUAAUACGGAGGAUCCAAGCGUUAUCCGGAAUCAUUGGGUUUAAAGGGUCCGUAGGUGGACAAUUAAGUCAGAGGUGAAAUCCUGCAGCUCAACUGUAGAAUUGCCUUUGAUACUGGUUGUCUUGAAUCAAUGUGAAGUGGUUAGAAUAUGUAGUGUAGCGGUGAAAUGCAUAGAUAUUACAUAGAAUACCAAUUGCGAAGGCAGAUCACUAACAUUGCAUUGACACUGAUGGACGAAAGCGUGGGGAGCGAACAGG